CACGUAGGAGGCGAGCGUUAUCCGGAUUUACUGGGUGUAAAGCGCGUGCAGGCGGUUCAGAAAGUUGGAUGUGAAAGCUCCUGGCUUAACUGGGAGAGGUCGUUCAAUACUUCUGGACUCGAGUAUGGGAGAGGGAGGUGGAAUUCCGGGUGUAGUGGUGAAAUGCGUAGAUAUCCGGAGGAACACCAGUGGCGAAAGCGGCCUCCUGGCCCAUUACUGACGCUCAGACGCGAAAGCUAGGGUAGCAAACGGG
RNAcentral lists this ribosomal RNA (253 nucleotides) under uncultured bacterium. RNAcentral's name for it is "partial 16S ribosomal RNA". It matches the Rfam family "Bacterial small subunit ribosomal RNA", at positions 524 to 776 of the family's 1533-position model. The record is from RNAcentral.